RNAcentral lists this ribosomal RNA (253 nucleotides) under uncultured bacterium. RNAcentral's name for it is "partial 16S ribosomal RNA". It matches the Rfam family "Bacterial small subunit ribosomal RNA", at positions 524 to 776 of the family's 1533-position model. The record is from RNAcentral.
UACGUAGGGUGCGAGCGUUGUCCGGAAUUAUUGGGCGUAAAGAGCUUGUAGGCGGUCUGUCGCGUCUGCUGUGAAAAUCCGGGGCUCAACCCCGGACUUGCAGUGGGUACGGGCAGACUAGAGUGUGGUAGGGGAGAAUGGAAUUCCUGGUGUAGCGGUGAAAUGCGCAGAUAUCAGGAAGAACACCCGUGGCGAAGGCGGUUCUCUGGGACGGUACUGACGCUGAGACGCGAAAGCGUGGGGAGCGAACAGG